This 262-nucleotide long non-coding RNA is filed under the name Elaeis guineensis (African oil palm). RNAcentral describes it as "long non-coding RNA (EGUI_LNC046198)". Lineage: Eukaryota; Viridiplantae; Streptophyta; Magnoliopsida; Arecales; Arecaceae. The record is from RNAcentral.
UGGGUAUAAAUGUCCCUCCGACCUGAGACCACCACGGUGACUUGCAAGCAACUCACUGCACUUAAGUACUGGACUACUUGAAUUUCUAAUUCAGUGACGGAAGGCUGCUGGGUAUAGUCAAGUACUUGACUUGUCGGUGCAUGUGUCAAGAUGGGAUUGACCACUCUAGUUUAGGAGCUGUGUACAGUCAUGUUUUAAUUUAGCAAAACUUUGACCAGGGUAGUCUUUGUGAGGAGUCACAGGACUGUUUGAGUUGAGCAUG